AGGGCGCAUGGCGGAUGCCUUGGCUCUCGGAGGCGAUGAAGGACGUGAUAAGCUGCGAUAAGCUUUGGGGAGGUGCAAAUGACCUUUGAUCCAGAGAUUUCCGAAUGGGACAACCCAAUAUCUUGAAGAGGUAUUAUCCAACGUUGUUGGAGGCUAACGCAGGGAACUGAAACAUCUUAGUACCUGCAGGAAAAGAAAAUAAACAAUGAUUCCCCCAGUAGUGGCGAGCGAACGGGGAACAGCCCAAACCAUCCAUGUUACGGCAUGGGUGGGGUUGUAGGACUACGUCGUUGCAUGAAGACAUCAGAGAAGAACUUUCUGGAAAGAAAGACCAUAGAGCAUGACAGUUGCGUAUUCGAAUGUUGUCGAAGCAUAGUAGUAUCCUGAGUAGCGCGGAGCACGAGGAAUUCUGCGUGAAUCUGCCGGGACCAUCCGGUAAGGCUAAAUACUCCCGAGAGACCGAUAGCGAACCAGUACCGUGAGGGAAAGGUGAAAAGCACUUCGAACAGAAGAGUGAAAUAGUUCCUGAAACCGUGCGCCUACAAGCGGUCGGAGCUCGUUAAUGAGUGACGGCGUGCCUUUUGCAUAAUGAACCUACGAGUUGCCUUUGCCGGCAAGGUUAAGUGUGACGACACACGUAUCCGAAGCGAAAGCGAGUCUGAAUAGGGCGUAUAGUCGGCAGUGGCAGACGCGAAACCAAGUGAUCUACCCUUGGCCAGGUUGAAGGCUGGGUAACACCAGCUGGAGGACCGCACCAAUAAGCGUUGAAAAGCUUCUGGAUGAGCUGAGGGUAGGGGUGAAAGGCUAAUCAAACUUGGAGAUAGCUCGUACUCCCCGAAAUGCAUUUAGGUGCAGCCUUGUGAGUUACUAAUGUGAGGUAGAGCGACUGAUAAGAUGCGAGGGCUUCACCGCCUAUCAAGUCUUGACAAACUCCGAAUGCGCAUCAGUUCUACCGCAGGAGUGAGGGCAUGGGUGCUAAGGUCCGUGCCCGAGAGGAGAAGAAUCCGGACCACCUGCUAAGGUCCCGAAAUAACAGCUAAGUUAAACUAACGAAGUCAGAUUGCUAAGACAGCUAGGAUGUUGGCUUGGAAGCAGCCAUUCAUUUAAAGAGUGCGUAACAGCUCACUAGUCGAGGAGUCGGGCGUGGAUAAUAAUCGGGUAUUAAGUUGUCUACCGAAGCAGUGGGAUCAUUUAUAUGAUCGGUAGGGGAGCAUUCCAGUCAGCGUCGAAGGCGUACCGUGAGGUAUUCUGGAGCGUCUGGAAAAGCAAAUGUAGGUAUAAGUAACGAUAAAGGGGGCGGGAAACCCCCUCGCCGAAAGACUAAGGUUUCCUGAUCAACGCUAAUCGGAUCAGGGUCAGUCGGGUCCUAAGGCUCAGCCGAACGGCGAUGCCGAUGGCAGAAACGGUUAAUAUUCCGUUACUACCUUCAGGAGUGACGUGGAGACGCAGUAGUGACAGUGCCGCCAUCUGACGGAAUAGAUGGUUGAAGGGUGUAGGAGUCGAUCAUGGCAGGCAAAUCCACCAUGAGAUCCGAACCUGAUAGUAUGCCGCGUCCUUCGGGACAAGGCAAUAGUGCGCGUAAGCAUGCUGCCGAGAAAAUCCGCUAAACUUAAUCCUGCAGGUACCCGUACCGCAAACGGACACACGUAGUCGGGUUGAAUAUACUAAGGCGCUUGAGUGAUUCACGGUUAAGGAACUAGGCAAACUGACCCUGUAACUUCGGGAUAAAGGGUCCCUACCCUUUUAUGGGAGGGCGCAGAGAAUCGGUCCAGGCAACUGUUUAACAAAAACACAGGGCUGUGCGAAGUCGAAAGACGCUGUAUACAGCCUGACACCUGCCCGGUGCUGGAAGGUUAAGAGGAGAUGUCAUCGCAAGAGAAGCAUUGAAUUGAAGCCCCAGUAAACGGCGGCCGUAACUAUAACGGUCCUAAGGUAGCGAAAUUCCUUGUCGGGUAAGUUCCGACCUGCACGAAUGGUGUAAUGAUCUGGACACUGUCUCAACCGUGAGCUCGGUGAAAUUGUAGUAUCGGUGAAGAUGCCGAUUACCCGCGAUGGGACGAAAAGACCCCGUGAACCUUUACUAUAGCUUAUCAUUGAAUCUGGGCACGUGAUGUGUAGGAUAGGUCGGAGGCUUUGAAGCAGGUACGCCAGUAUUUGUGGAGCCGCUGUUGAAAUACGACCCUUUAUUUGUUUGGAUUCUAACCCGUGGAACGGGGACAUUGAUUGGUGGGUAGUUUGACUGGGGUGGUCGCCUCCAAAAGCGUAACGGAGGCUUCUAAAGGUGCCCUCACGACGAUUGGUAACCGUCGGCAGAGUG
RNAcentral lists this ribosomal RNA (2317 nucleotides) under human metagenome. RNAcentral's name for it is "bacterial LSU rRNA". It matches the Rfam family "Bacterial large subunit ribosomal RNA", at positions 14 to 2351 of the family's 2925-position model. The record is from RNAcentral.